RNAcentral lists this ribosomal RNA (1245 nucleotides) under metagenome. Its description in RNAcentral is "bacterial LSU rRNA". It matches the Rfam family "Bacterial large subunit ribosomal RNA", at positions 1564 to 2818 of the family's 2925-position model. The record is from RNAcentral.
UGAAUACGAGACGCUAAGGCGUCGAAGUAGUGUAUGUCAUACUUCCAAGAAAAGCUUGCACUGUCAUAGAUAAAAAACGCCUGUACCAUAACCGACACAGGUGGGUAGGUAGAGUAUACUAAGCGGCGCGAGAUAACUCUCUCUAAGGAACUCGGCAAAAUAACUCCGUAACUUCGGGAGAAGGAGUGCCUUAUUCGUAAGGUUGCAAUAACAAGAUCCAAGCAACUGUUUAUCAAAAACACAGGUCUCCGCUAAGUCGUAAGACGAUGUAUGGGGGCUGACGCCUGCCCAGUGCCAGAAGGUUAAAGAAGUUGGUUAGCAAUUGCGAAGCUGAUAACUGAAGCCCUGGUGAACGGCGGCCGUAACAAUAACGGUCCUAAGGUAGCGAAAUUCCUUGUCGGGUAAGUUCCGACCCGCACGAAAGGCGUAAUGAUUUGGAUACUGUCUCGGAGAGGGGCUCGGUGAAAUAGACUUGUCUGUGAAGAUGCGGACUACCUGCACCAGGACAGAAAGACCCUAUGAAGCUUUACUGUAACUUGAAAUUGAAAUUGGACUUUAUUCGCGCAGUAUAGGUGGGAGGCGUUGAUUAUAAUCUUGUGGGAUUAUUGGAGCCAUCAGUGAGAUACCACUCUUGUAAUGUUAGAUUUCUAACUUUGAAUCAUUAUCUGGUCAAAGAACAGUUUCAGGCGGGCAGUUUGACUGGGGCGGUCGCCUCCUAAACGGUAACGGAGGCGUACAAAGGUUUCCUCUGAACGGUUAGAAAUCGUAUCUAGAGUGUAAAGGCAUAAGGAAGCUUGACUGUGAGACCUACAAGUCGAGCAGGGACGAAAGUCGGUCUUAGUGAUCUGACGGUACUGAGUGGAAAGGCCGUCACUCAACGGAUAAAAGUUACUCUAAGGAUAACAGGCUGAUCUCCCCCAAGAGUUCACAUCGACGGGGAGGUUUGGCACCUCGAUGUCGGCUCAUCGCAUCCUGGGGCGGUAGUACGUCCCAAGGGUUGGGCUGUUCGCCCAUGAAAGCGGUACGCGAGCUGGGUUCAGAACGUCGUGAGACAGUUCGGUCCAUAUCCGGUGUAGGCGUUAGAAUAUUGAGAGGAGCCUUCUUUAGUACGAGAGGACCGAGAAGGACAUACCUCUGGUGUACCAGUUAUCGUGCCAACGGUAAACGCUGGGUAGCUAUGUAUGGAGUGGAUAACCGCUGAAAGCAUCUAAGUGGGAAGCCCACCUCAAGAUAAGUAUUCUCAUC